Long non-coding RNA from Falco peregrinus (peregrine falcon), 6248 nucleotides. RefSeq lists it as uncharacterized. The transcript has 3 exons. NCBI's taxonomy places the organism in Eukaryota, Metazoa, Chordata, Aves, Falconiformes, Falconidae. The record is from RefSeq and is a predicted model, not a curated record.
ACCACUGCGAACCAAACUUUGAUCCUGGUGAAGGUGUCUCCUGUUUUUGCUUGAGUCCGUUCAUCCAUGGACGAACAGUGCACUGUGCAGUGAAGCUCUGUGUCCUGCCUGUGGUGAAGCUCCAGCAGAGGCUGUCUUCUUCCAGAGGAGGCUGUGAUGGUGGGGUCUCCCAGGACCUGUCUUCUUCUGCGAUGUUACUUGGGGCUGAUGGCAGCACUGCAGCCUCCAAUCCAUGAGUUGGAGUUGUCCCUAGGAAAGGAACGGAUGUUGCUAUUUCUCAUAGAGCUCUGCCUUUGCUCCUCCUCCAGACUCAUGAUGCCUCUGACUUCAACCACAUGGCAGUGCCCAGGAGCAGCAGCUGGCCAGAUGUGUCCAGAGUGUGCGUGCAAGGAGUACCCUCUCAUUGUCUGGAACAGUGACUGCCUAAAGCUUCCAAGUCAGCCCCUUAGCUCAAAUGCAAAUAAUAACUGCUACAAGCUCUGAGCAGUCCCUGACUUUCAGGUCACAAGACUGGCAAGCUGCUGAGGUUUCAGGAGACGUGCCUGUUGUUUCCCCACUUUCCAGCCCAAGCCCUGGGAACUGCUCUCCCUGGUUUACACUGAGCCUUUGGAUCCAUGUGCUCUCUGGUAAAUAUCUUCUGGCACUCUCCCGACGAUCCCCAUCCCUUGGACACCCUGACUUUUGCACUAAUUAAACGGAGGCUGGGAAGGCUGAAGCUGCUGCUGAAUAGACAGAGUGGGAGACCGCAGGCUUGUUCCAGAGCAGUGUCUGAGACCUCCGCCUCCUUUAGCUCAACAGGACCUCCUUCCAAAGCCACAAUCCCAGUGAACUUGACUUUCUGUUCUGUGGCUUCCCCUCCCUAGAGGCUGCUGAGCUGGUGGGGCUGGUGGUCUACCUAUUGAAUGUGAGGACUAGGUGGCUCUGAGCUCACCGCAAGACGUCAAUGGUUUUUGCUCUGCGGGCUUUGUUCUCCUUCAGAGCUAGUGAGACCCUGUCUUUUCUGCCUUCCCCGAUGGUGAACAGUGCCUGGGGAGGGCAACCUGCUCCCCCAGCCCAGCUUCCAGCUCCACAUGUCCCAGAGUAACCAGGUGCUGCUGCAGUAUAGAUGUGCCCUUAUCAAACAAGCAGACCUUGAUAGUUUCUUUUUCUUCCAGGCUUAACCUGCCUAAGUCUUUUUGGGGUGAGAUACGAUAUGUGACUUGACAGCAAUUCUAGGUGAGAUUUUUUCCUCCUGGGAAAGCGUGGUAAGAAAUUAAGCUUUGCAGGUUUUCUGCCCAGUCGACCAGGGAAAGUAAAAUCCUUGGUGAACUUGGGUUGGGUCUGGGGGCAGGAGAGUUGCUGCUGUGAUUUGUGGUUAUUCUCUCUGCAGCACUGCUUCCUUACUCACAAGUGAGAGGUGAGGGGUUUUGACACCUCUUUAUGACCUGGGAGCCACAGGGAAGUGGUGGUGACUUGUGUUCUGGAAAGACAAGGUCAUUGACAAGGGUGGUGCAAGCAUCUUUGGUUCCUCUGACCAUAUGAGAAUCCAAAUAUUUUCAAUUCGUAGGAAUUAAAAUGAACAUCCUAGUUUUAUGUUGCUGGCUAUUUGAAAUGUGGCCCUUCCCAAGGUGGUGUGCAAUAUAGGGAUAUUACUGGGAAAGCUGUUGAUAAGAGCAAGAGUGAAAACGGAUGUCUGGUUGUAAAGCCUAUCUGUCCUACAACCUUCAGGGCCUGCCAGGGGACGUGUUUCCUGGGCUGUGAAGAGCCAAUAUGGGACACAAUCAUAUAUCAGUGAUUAUAUUGAUCACUGUCUCAGACCCAUUCAGUCAAGGACACCAGCACCUUUUGGAGAGGAAGGGUCGCUCCUGCUCCGGGAGUCUGGGGAGGGUGUUGAAUGCACAGCAGUGACUGUAUGCGGGGAGAAGCAACUCUCCUUUAGGGAAUGCUGGGCCCAUGCUCGAACCAAUUAGCAGAAUGGAGCUGAGCAAAGUACAGGAGGGACCAGACUGAUAAUAAGCGAAGUGCUCAAAUAUGGGAAGUUGGGGAAGAAGCCAAAUGAAAAUGAAAUGAAAGGCUAAGGUCCAACUUCAGCAGUUGUGUAGAAAAAAUGGGACAGCUGAUAAUAGGAAAGCCUGCAGGAACACUGGGUCAAAACCCCUGUGAGAGAGACUGAAGGAAUCUGCGCAACAGCCAAGGGAGGGAGGGCUGGGAAGGGAUUUUAUCGAAAAGCGAGUCAGCAAAUUGGAGCUGUUGGCUUGCUUACCACCACAGAGACCUACGUCUCACACUGUGACCUCUUCACUUACUGCUCCAUCGUGAUAGCCAAUUUGAGAGAUGCAUGGGAUGGCAGGACUCUCUCAAGAGAGCAGCAAGGGUCUUCUUGACAGACCUUUGCGUGGGGGGACACUUCCCACCAGCUUCACUGCAGAGGGACGGAGGGCAUUUGCUCUGUCUCUUGAUCCGGGACUGCUGAGAAUUGCCUUUGGGGAUAGCUUUAAACCCCUCUUUUUUUUGGAAGUGAAAUCAGAAACCUGUAGCUGAGCUUCUUCCUUUGCAGCCUUUCUCAGCCUUGGAAAUCUAUGGAAAGCUCAGGAGAGGAUAACUGUCUUCUGCCUUCAGGUAAACUCCAUAAAGACCACUUGAAGGUAGAUGAUGUGGUGGAAAACAUCCCAAACCCAUGAGUCUGCAUCUGAGACACAAAGGAAGCAAUUCUAGAUACCUAUAGCUCACGUGAGGCAGCAGAGAUUUCUUUCACAGACACUGUGAUCGAGGUAGGUAUUACAAGGUCACCUGCAGGUGAUACCCUUGGCUCUUGCUAUCUUGGAUCACAGCAGUAAGGCCCUUCUUCUGGUCCCUCUGAUUCACCAUCUGUAAAAGAAGGCUAGGGGUAUACCUUCUUGGUAAACCAUCUGAAAAUGGCCUUACUACAAAAGUGAGCCCAUCCUGCAGGUGAUAAAGAAGAGGUCUUCUUCGGAGGCCUGACUUGUGAGAUAUCAUGGAGAAGCUGUGUAAUACAGGCAUGUAUUUGUCCCUCUGAUGUGGCUUCUCAAUUUAAAAGUGCUGUUCGGAAUGUGAGACGCACUAGAUAAAAGUGAAUUUAACAGCUAUUUUCUAUCCUUUGAGGAACAUCAGUAUUGGCUGAAAGAGGGAAAAAGACCUUUUUUGUUGAAUCUGGAAUGGACCUGCUUUUAUUGGAGGACUCUUGACUACUUUUGUUGAUAAUUCCUCUGAUAGCUUUUACCUGACUUGCUUUCAAAAUCCUUGUUGCUAUUUUUUUUUUUGUCUUUAAAAUGCAUUUCCUUGCUGAAAUUCAGGUUUGGGGUCUUGAAAAAUGUCCAAAAUGAUUUUGCAGAUUACUUUCUUUGAUGUAGAAAUCCCAGAAAUAGGAUAUUCCAUAAGGGAAGUCACCUGUUUAUUUCUAGGAGGGUAGAGAAUUUAUUUUAAACAAUGCCAUUUUCUUUUCAAUUACAGACGUUUUUGUGGGGGAAAAAAAAGCAGCAGUCUCUAAGAAAGAGCAUGUGAUCACAAUUAAAGGAUGUGUUGUGCUGUAUCAGAAGGUAGCAUUUAAACCAGGGAAAGACUGAAUAUUGACUAUAACUCAUUGUAAUUAUACCAUCUAUUUCAAACAUGUAAAUAUGUUUGGUAGCACUUACAUGUUUAUGUCAGCUAUUGGGAAAAGCCAUUUUCCUUUUUGGUAAACUUCUGAUGGUAAGAAUUUUGUUACUUGCAUUUGAAUAAGCAACAGACAACAAGUUUAGACGCCGCAGAUUUUUGUGCGAACAGAAGUUGAUCCCCUGUCCUGUGGCAGUAGGAUUUUACGUGCAUCCAGGUUGUUUGUAGAAAUUUCAUGAAUAGGAAAUAUUAAUAAGCAACGUGUUCAUUAAGACAUGCAUUUCUUCACAGAAUAGAGCACGAACACGGUAAAGGCGGUGUGAUGCAGGGAACUGAACAUCAGACUGGGAAUGGGAUGAGUGGGAAUCCAUUUCUGGCUCCCCCGCUGCCUGGUCAGCUCUUCCCACCUCCCACCUUAACUGGGAUCAGCGGCAUUUAGCUUGUUUUGAAAGGGCUUUGAGAUCUACAGAUUGAGAUCACUCUGGAAGACCCAGGUGCUUUGCUGAAGCCUAACCCACAAACCCUUCAAAAACUGGAACGCUGAUUUAACCUGGCACCGUGAGUGAAGCCGUGUCUCUGCUAAAAUUGAUGAGAAAACUCCCUUCGCUUCUGGGGACUGGGAUCCUUCGCCAGGGGAAAUCAUUCUGAGCCUAUUUCCCUUCCCUCUGACAUUUUCUGUCUUAUCAAAAGCCAGAGGAGUAAGGAAGAAGGUUAAUGACUAAAUUGACAAAUAAACAAUCAGUUCAAAGCAGCAACAGAACAUUUCCAGGAAAAUUUAAGAAUGUCCUCUGAAAACCGGUUAGGAAUGUAAAGUGCCACACUUCAGCCCAAGAGAGACCAUCCGUACAGAGCUCAUUGGGUUACGGGGGCUGCAGCUGGCUGGGAAAUAGGAAAGGCUUUGGCGUUUCCAUGGAAUACAUUAGAGGAAAAUUGCAGAAGAGGGAGGAAAAUUGCUUUGGUCAUGGUGAACGGAGAAAGGCAUCGCCACAGAGGUGUCUUAGGUAAAGCCUCUCUGACAGCCUUAUGUACAACCUGCACACCGUCUGACUCCAGGAUGUCAGGUUUUAGACAGCAAAGCAAAAACAUCCAUGGCUCUCUUCGCCAAAAAGAAAAUGUGUAAGGAGUCACAGGCCAGGAGACCGCCUUUCAGCCCAUUGCGGCAUGAGCAUCGAGCAGUGAUAAUGGGGAGACGCUUCCCUCGCGCUCAGUCAGAGAAACAGAGUGUGUUUGGCCUUUGUUUUCAAGGGCUUCACUUUGCCACAGUAAUGGUGCAUUAACAACCGCUUGAUUUUCAUUUAAUAAAUAAUAGGAAUUAUGCUGUGAUGGAGCCAAGAUUUUAAACAAGAGGCUCCUGUAAACAUUUUCUUCAGGAAUCUGUGAUAAACCAAAGAUAGCGUUAGACGUACUCGGAGGGAGUGGGGACGCCAAACUUGGAAUCUGUCCAUCUGCUUCACCACUGAAACAAAACCACUUUAUAACAACCACAGAGGAGAGGAAGCGAUGCAGCUUGGCACAUGCACUUACACUAUGUGUGGUGGAAAUGUUUAUUCUUUAUUUCAGAAAGAUUUAGUGGGUGUAGAGAUAAUAGAGCAUAGCGCUCGCUUGUGUCUUGGGGAAGGAGGGGUGAUGGUGUUUGGGUUUUAAGGGAGUCCAGUGUCAGCUCCCAUGGGGAAUAUUUUCGGUAAUACCUAUUGCAAUCUCAUGCGCUUGGAAGGCAGGAGGAGACAGAGGAAUGAAAUGUGCUCUUCAGGAGAGGUGUUGUAAAGGCCCCAGGAUUAGUUAUCUCUGACAGGAAGGAUUUUACUGACUCUGGCAGACAGCAGAGGCAGAGUCCUGGCCACUUUGCAUUGGCCCCAUGGCUCCCCCAAGGCCCCAUGCUGGGAUGCUUCCCUCAGAGCGGCUCGGGUCGCUCUGCCCCUCUCCCCAUGAGAUGCCAGGGGGCUGCCUGGGGUCACUGACCCCGCGGACAACCCGCCUCACCCCACGCGUGCCUCGUACCCAACACGUGCCGGCUUCCCGAAGGAUCUUCUGGCUCCAGCUCUCUUGUGUCUACCUGAUGGGCUGAGGCACCAUGUUGUGACUUGGGGGAAGGAUCUGGAAUGCGGGAGUCUGCAGGGUCAGUCUCAUGGUCCCCAGUGUCCCUGUCUGUCCCCCCCAGUGGCCACUGCUCCCUUUUCUGCUGUGCACGUUCAGCUCUGCGGUGCUGCCUCUCCUCAGAGCUGCUCAAAAUCAAACCUGAAAGACCCUGGAGUGACCUCUGGGGAUGUGAGAGUCCCUGCCAGAGUUUGAAAGAGCAUAUGUCUAGACUUGGUGUACGAGCAAGCAAGUGAAGGGAUGACUAAGUGUCUGAAAGUUUGGACCUUUGGAGAGGAGUCCCUUGGCCCUUUGUUUCUUGGAUAAAGUUUCGCUUCCUGUGGAGCUGUGGAGAUAAAGGGUAUUUUUUCUCCCGGUUUUUUUUUUUCCUUCUUUUCAAAACAGUAAAAAAUAUAUAGAUACGUCUUGGGCGAGAAAGCAGAAACCUUUGAAAAAUUUUGGCAAAUCAAGAAACACAAAGAAUGUGUUGAGUGAAACAUUUCAUAGCGACAAAAAUCAAAACAUCUCACUUCGCCUUCAACCACUUUAAAACAUUUUAAUGGUUCGAAAGGAAAUUUCAAAAC